This 216-nucleotide non-coding RNA is filed under the name Pseudaestuariivita atlantica. Lineage: Bacteria; Pseudomonadati; Pseudomonadota; Alphaproteobacteria; Rhodobacterales; Paracoccaceae. The record is from RNAcentral.
CUCUAGGUGACAGGUGCUGGUGUCCAAGGGCUACCUUGGACGAAGAGGGAAUGCGAGGGGGACAAUUUUCGUACGAAAAUUGUGUCUGACGCAGCCGCCCCCGCGACCGUGACCGAAGAGGCCGCUAGACGCCACUGGGCAUCGCCCGGGAAGGCAGCGGCCGGGCCAGAUAGGCACUUCGCAAGCCGGGAGACCUGCCAGCGAACGAGACACGGA